RNAcentral lists this ribosomal RNA (663 nucleotides) under uncultured bacterium. Its description in RNAcentral is "bacterial SSU rRNA". It matches the Rfam family "Bacterial small subunit ribosomal RNA", at positions 68 to 737 of the family's 1533-position model. The record is from RNAcentral.
CCUCACAGUGGGUAACCACAGGGAGGUAUCUAGUNNNNNNCGGGUGCGUAACACGUGAGAAACCUACCCCGGAGAUCGGGAUAGCCCAGGGAAACUUGGAUUAAUACCGAAUACCCUCCGACCGUCGCAUGUCGGACGGAGGAAAUGGUCCGCCGCUCCGGGAUGGUCUCGCGGCCUAUCAGCUAGUUGGUGAGGUAACGGCUCACCAAGGCAACGACGGGUAGCUGGUCUGAGAGGACGAUCAGCCACACUGGGACUGAGACACGGCCCAGACUCCUACGGGAGGCAGCAGCAGGGAAUAUUGCACAAUGGGCGCAAGCCUGAUGCAGCGACGCCGCGUGAGGGAUGAAGGCCUUCGGGUUGUAAACCUCUUUCAGGAGGGAAGAAGCGAAAGUGACGGUACCUCCAGAAGAAGACCCGGCCAACUACGUGCCAGCAGCCGCGGUAAUACGUAGGGGUCAAGCGUUGUCCGGAUUCAUUGGGCGUAAAGAGCUCGUAGGCGGCUCAGUAAGUCGGUCGUGAAAGCCCGGGGCUCAACCCCGGGACGCCGAUCGAAACUGCUGUGGCUAGGGUNCGGUAGAGGAGAGUGNNAUUCCCGGUGUAGCGGNGAAAUGCNCAGAUNUCGGGAGGAACACCAGUAGCGAANGCGGCUCUCUGGGCCGA